AGUGAACGCUGGCGGUAGGCCUAACACAUGCAAGUCGAACGGCAGCACAGUAAGAGCUUGCUCUUACGGGUGGCGAGUGGCGGACGGGUGAGGAAUACAUCGGAAUCUACUUUUUCGUGGGGGAUAACGUAGGGAAACUUACGCUAAUACCGCAUACGACCUACGGGUGAAAGCAGGGGAUCUUCGGACCUUGCGCGAUUGAAUGAGCCGAUGUCGGAUUAGCUAGUUGGCGGGGUAAAGGCCCACCAAGGCGACGAUCCGUAGCUGGUCUGAGAGGAUGAUCAGCCACACUGGAACUGAGACACGGUCCAGACUCCUACGGGAGGCAGCAGUGGGGAAUAUUGGACAAUAGGCGCAAGCCUGGUCCAGCCAUACCGCGUGGGUGAAGAAGGCCUUCGGGUUGUAAAGCCCUUUUGUUGGGAAAGAAAAGCAGCAGGUUAAUACCCCGCUGUUCUGACGGUACCCAAAGAAUAAGCACCGGCUAACUUCGUG
RNAcentral lists this ribosomal RNA (492 nucleotides) under uncultured bacterium. Its description in RNAcentral is "partial 16S ribosomal RNA". It matches the Rfam family "Bacterial small subunit ribosomal RNA", at positions 29 to 507 of the family's 1533-position model. The record is from RNAcentral.